Molecule: long non-coding RNA, 254 nt
Organism: Oncorhynchus gorbuscha (pink salmon)
Lineage: Eukaryota; Metazoa; Chordata; Actinopteri; Salmoniformes; Salmonidae
Exons: 3
Source: RefSeq, a predicted model, not a curated record
UAACGCAGGGCCUGGGCCAACCACCUCUGAGGCUGUGGAACAGCAAGGUGGAGUGAAGUGUCCUGUGUGUGACUAUGUGUACGGUACCAAGUGGGAGAUGAACAGACACCUGAAGAACAAGCAUGGCCUCAAAGUGAUUCAGAGUGACGUGCUUGGUCUCAACCAAUGGGAGACACCGUGUUGUGUGUGUGUGUGUUCUGAGGUGGUGGAACAGUCGGUGGAGGAGCCCCUUACCCAGUACCUCCACAUCACUG